GGGCCCGCACAAGCGGCGGAGCAUGCGGAUUAAUUCGAUGCAACGCGAAGAACCUUACCAAGGCUUGACAUGGGCCGGACCGGGCUGGAAACAGUCCUUCCCCUUUGGGGCCGGUUCACAGGUGGUGCAUGGUUGUCGUCAGCUCGUGUCGUGAGAUGUUGGGUUAAGUCCCGCAACGAGCGCAACCCUCGUUCCAUGUUGCCAGCGCGUAAUGGCGGGGACUCAUGGGAGACUGCCGGGGUCAACUCGGAGGAAGGUGGGGACGACGUCAAAUCAUCAUGCCCCUUAUGUCUUGGGCUUCACGCAUGCUACAAUGGCCGGUACAAAGGGUUGCGAUACUGUGAGGUGGAGCUAAUCCCAAAAAGCCGGUCUCAGUUCGGAUUGGGGUCUGCAACUCGACCCCAUGAAGUCGGAGUCGCUAGUAAUCGCAGAUCAGCAACGCUGCGGUGAAUACGUUCCCGGGCCUUGUACACACCGCCCGUCAAGUCACGAAAGUUGGUAACACCCGAAGCCGGUGGCCUAACCCCUUGUGGGAGGGAGCUGUCGAAGGUGGGACUGGCGAUUGGGACU
This 570-nucleotide ribosomal RNA is filed under the name uncultured bacterium. Its description in RNAcentral is "bacterial SSU rRNA". It matches the Rfam family "Bacterial small subunit ribosomal RNA", at positions 917 to 1482 of the family's 1533-position model. The record is from RNAcentral.